Small nucleolar RNA from Petromyzon marinus (sea lamprey), 134 nucleotides. NCBI's taxonomy places the organism in Eukaryota, Metazoa, Chordata, Hyperoartia, Petromyzontiformes, Petromyzontidae. The record is from Ensembl.
AUGCACAUUUUAUUCUCAUGCUCUUAAUACUUUUGGGAGCCAUGAUAUAUCUUUUGUGCUAGAUCAAUAACGUUGGUAAAUUAACAGCCUAGCUUUGUUCACUAGCUAGAGCUGUCAGUCACCUUCGGAUAAUA